GCCGACGUUAGUCGGUCCCCAACGCUCAGCGUAUGGCGUACCGCACGCGUCGUCUAUCCUAUCAGUUUGUCUGGUUUCGGCCGGGCUGACUGGUUCUUUUACUUUGAAAAAAUUAGAGUGUUUAAAGCAGGCUUGCGCAAUGAAUUACAUUAGCAUGGAAUAAUAAUAUAGGACUUCGGUCUCUACUUUAUUGGUUCUGGAGUUGAAGUAAUGAUUGAUAGGGAUAGUUGGGGGCGCUAGUAUUGAGCGUCCAGAGGUGAAAUUCUUAGAUUCUCUCAAGACUAACUUAUGCGAAAGCAUUCACCAAGGAUGUCUUCUUUAAUCAACAACGAA
This 333-nucleotide ribosomal RNA is filed under the name uncultured eukaryote. RNAcentral's name for it is "bacterial SSU rRNA". It matches the Rfam family "Eukaryotic small subunit ribosomal RNA", at positions 654 to 987 of the family's 1831-position model. The record is from RNAcentral.